Molecule: non-coding RNA, 187 nt
Organism: Hordeum vulgare subsp. vulgare (domesticated barley)
Lineage: Eukaryota; Viridiplantae; Streptophyta; Magnoliopsida; Poales; Poaceae
Source: Rfam
AAAACUAUUUAUAUUUAAAAACGGAGGAAGUAUUUGUUUUUGUCAAUUUAAUAUCUGAUAUGCAGUCCGUGUGCCUACAACGAUAUUAAUUUUUUGUUACGAAGAAGGGUCCAUCACAGUGGCUUGCCAUUGGAUCUUUCAGGUGUUGCCCAGGCGUUGCCUUACAGCUUGGGCUAGCGCACCCCAA